AUUGAACGCUGGCGGCAUGCCUUACACAUGCAAGUCGAACGGCAGCACGGGUGCUUGCACCUGGUGGCGAGUGGCGAACGGGUGAGUAAUACAUCGGAACAUGUCCUGUAGUGGGGAAUAGCCCGGCGAAAGCCGGAUUAAUACUGCAUACGAUCUACGGAUGAAAGCGGGGGCCCUUCGGGCCUCGCGCUUUGGGGUCGGCCGUUGGCUGAUUAGCUAGUUGGUGGGGUAAAGGCCUGCCAAGGCGACGAUCAGUAGCUGGUCUGAGAGGACGACCAGCCACACUGGGACUGAGACACGGCCCAGACUCCUACGGGAGGCAGCAGUGGGGAAUUUUGGACAAUGGGCGAAAGCCUGAUCCAGCAAUGCCGCGUGUGUGAAGAAGGCCUUCGGGUUGUAAAGCACUUUUGUCCGGAAAGAAAACCUUGGCCCUAAUACGGUCGGGGGAUGACGGUACCGGAAGAAUAAGCACCGGCUAACUACGUG
Molecule: ribosomal RNA, 486 nt
Filed under: uncultured bacterium
Lineage: Bacteria
Description: partial 16S ribosomal RNA
Rfam family: Bacterial small subunit ribosomal RNA
Source: RNAcentral